AGGAAUCCCUGAGAACAGACCACCUGUGGGUUAUCUUUGGGGGCAUGCUGUUUGUUGGGGGUGAAUUGGAGAAGCCCGAUGAAGUAUUUAUAAACAGCGAUUGGGCACAGAAAAACCAUCAGCGGUUGGUUCCCCUGAGAUACAGACCAUCGUCUACAGACUCUACAUAGCACAGUUUUCUUUCCCCUACUGAAAGCCAUGGCCUCCCUCUCUCUGGGACUCCUGUUUCUCUGUAUGCUGGUUGGCGUCCAUGGUGCAAAUGUCAGGGUGUCCGGCCUUCAUGCCAGCGGCCUUCGAGGGGACCCUGCUGGUAAUUACCCUGACCCCUACGUCAAGGUUUGGUGUGGUGGCAAAUCCGGUGGCAUGACAGACUGGCACAAGGAUACUCAAAACCCAUCCUGGAGUGCUGUAUUCAACUUUCUGAAUGUGCCUUCCAGUGCUUCCCUCAAGUUUGAGAUCUGGGACAAGGACCUAAACUUCGAUGACCACCUGGGAACCUGCACCACUAACCUCCAGCUUGGCAGUCACAGCGUAACCUGCGGUCUGAGUAGUGGAACCUUCUACUACACUUACAGUUACCAGUAAACCAGCCAUAAUGUACAACAUCAGUUACCAGUAAACCAGUCAUAAUGUACAACAUUAGGCCAUCACAUACCUUAAUGAAAUUCUAAUGAAUUUUACUGAUGUACAUUAUGCCCUAAAUAAAAACUUGCCUUUCUGAACAAUG
This is a long non-coding RNA of Oncorhynchus mykiss (rainbow trout), 727 nucleotides long. RefSeq lists it as uncharacterized. Lineage: Eukaryota; Metazoa; Chordata; Actinopteri; Salmoniformes; Salmonidae. The record is from RefSeq and is a predicted model, not a curated record.